Molecule: transfer RNA, 126 nt
Filed under: Streptomyces rapamycinicus
Lineage: Bacteria; Bacillati; Actinomycetota; Actinomycetes; Kitasatosporales; Streptomycetaceae
Description: tRNA-OTHER
Source: RNAcentral
GGGUGUAGGGCCAGCUCGGACACGACUCGGCACAUCACCCGUUCUACGAGGUGAAAGUCGGUUCCGCGCCCGCGAGGCCCGGUGAUUCCCAAGCUCAGAGCGCGGGUUCGAUUCCCGUUUCACCCG